CCAUGCCCGGCUAAUUUUGUAUUUUUAAUAGAGACGGGGUUUCAUGUUGGCCAAGCUGGUCUCGAACUCCUGACCUCAGGUGAUCCACCCGCUUCGGCCUCCCAAACUACCGGGAUUACAGGCGUGAGCCAUCCCAUCCUGCCUCCAUCUUGUUUUUAUCCUCUAUGGCACCAUCUUGCACAAGUUUGAAGUCAUAGGCUUUUUUCACAAUAGUUCACAGGUGAGAUGAUUCACUUAGAGUUCCAGUAUAGAACACAAAUUCCUUGCUCUGCCUUCAAGCCACAACAUUUAUCCCCCAGCAAAUAAAAGAAGGUGAGAGAAAUGAAAACACUUCUACUCUCAUUGACUGGAACAAUCCAGAAUUUCAAUAUAGGGUGACAAGGAACACCUUCACUUUUGAAAUUGUUCUCAAAUAAACUUGCUUUAUUUGCUCUCAGAUCUUGCUCUCAGAUCUCCUGUAUCCCUAAGGGGCUGGGCUGGGCUAAGACCUGUAAAAAGAAAAGUACAUUGUCUGAAAUUUACUUGAUGAGUCAGUGGAACACAGAAAAGCAUUUCUACCAAGAUAAGAAGCCUCACUCAUGGUUUCCUGAGGCAUCUGAAGAAUGAAACACCUCAGGGAAGACAGAGAAGAGGUCACGUGAACACACCAAAAAGAUGGCCAUUGUCCAUGAGCUGGAAAGAGAGCCCUCACCAGAACCCAGCCAUCCUGCACCCUGAUCAUGGACUUCUAGCCUCGAGAAUUGUGAGAAAAUAAAUCUCUGUUAUUUGACUACCUGUGCUAUGGCAUUUUGUUA
RNAcentral lists this long non-coding RNA (794 nucleotides) under Homo sapiens (human). Its description in RNAcentral is "HSALNT0185805". Lineage: Eukaryota; Metazoa; Chordata; Mammalia; Primates; Hominidae. The record is from RNAcentral.